Molecule: long non-coding RNA, 2721 nt
Organism: Oryzias melastigma (Indian medaka)
Lineage: Eukaryota; Metazoa; Chordata; Actinopteri; Beloniformes; Adrianichthyidae
Exons: 2
Source: RefSeq, a predicted model, not a curated record
ACCCCAAAAGGGAAGAAGGGGACAAGAAAAUGGAUGGAUGGAUGAAUGAAUGUCACAUCUUUAAAACAGAUCUUUGUAACAUAUUGAUAACUCAACAAAUCAUAAUAAAAGGCACCACCCGCCUCUGAAUUCAUCGCCCCCUCUGACACGCCCUCACUGGCUGAGCGACUGCCACAGGUCUCUCACUCGCCAACAUUUCAGCAUUUUAUCCCCAAGUAUUCCCCACGAUGCUCAAGGAGUCAGGAGGCGAUAACCAGCGGUGUCAAACUCCAGGCCUUGAGAACCCGCCUCCGUCUCGUCUGCUGCUUAUUACCUGGAUCAGGUGUUUGGCAUUAAGGAGCUUCAAUGGAAAGUUGAUUGUAGAACAUAUUGGCCCUCGAGGCCUGGAUUCUGACACUCCUGCUUUAGAUCAAAAUCCCUAAAAGGAGUUCUAAUUUGUAGCUAGUACUAAACUACGGGUCUGCAACCUGUGGCUCUAGAGCAAAGUCUGGCUCUUCUACUCACAAGUAGUAAAAAAAUAGGUAAAAUAAGUUAUUACUCUGUAAGCCUCUGUUGGAAAGAUUGUUUGGGGGUUCAGUUGGCCUGAGUCUGUUUUCUUCUUUGUUUACUCAGCCCCCUCCACGUGUUGCUCACCUUCCCCCAUAGCCUCCCCCUUUCUUAGAUGCUCUCCCAAAUAUGGUCUUGUUCCUGUCUUUGUUUCUUAAGAUUUGAUCACCUUCCCCCGAGUUUCUCCCCCUUUCUUAUCAUGGAAAACAACUGCUUUUUACAUGCUCUCCCAAAUAUGGUGUUGUUCCUGUCUUUGUGUCUUAACCUAAUAAAGGUCUAAUGCUAAUGAAGGAGGCCAGAGCGGAGGAGGAAGACAUACUGCAAACAUGUGCUGACUCCUCUGUCUCUCCUUUUUGCAGCAAAGAGUGUUUUGAAAUUAACCUGACUGGUUCGUGUCUUUUUAUUAACUUUAUUAAGAAGAGACCUUUUAUUUAAACCCAACAUAACUUGGUGCCGAAACCCGGGAGACAACAGCCGUUUGGAAGAGGACGACGGGGGAAGGAGACCGAAGUCUGUCGACAGCCGGGCCCACAGGGGACCGAAACCAAAGUCCUCGGACAUCGAGAGAUAGGACGAGGCCGGUCGUAGGACCCUCCACCGCCGCCCUCCGAAAGACGGUGACGUCUCCUGAGAGCGCGAACCAGGUGGAGCUGCUGCUGCCAGGAGACCAGAUCCUGAUCAAGGUGAUCAAAAGGAAGUGGCUGACUGGCUGACUCCACGCUGGGAAGGCCCGUUCGCAGUCCAGCUAACAACCUCAACAGCUGUGAAAAUUGCUGAAAGAGCCACCUGGAAACAUCAGAGCCAUUGCAAGAAGCUGGUACCUCUGAAAGAGGAGUAAGGGUGUAAGUCACCCGGUAUCAAAACCCUUGGGUGCUGAAGAAAUCAUCUGAUCCCUUACUCCUAGCUCGACUCCUCAGCAGGUCACAAAACCCAGAGCAAUGAAGACCUCUGUGAUCGCCCUUGAACUCCUAGCACUGCAUGCUUGGAGGACACAAGCAUGACAGACACGCCAAAAACGUUUUGUGGUCAUUACAAUGUCCAGAGACUCAAUGACUGGACACAAGCUGGAUUUGAGGCUGUCCACGAGCAGCUAGCAGCUACCUCGCUUAUGGCCUUCCAGAACCGCAUUGCCAUAGACAUGCACCUGGCCGAGAAAGGUGGAGCCUGUGUUCUCUUUGGAGCUGAGUGUUGUACGUUUAUUCCUAACAACACAGCUGCAGAUGGGAGCCUGACUCGUGCCGUUGAAGGCCUCAGAAGCCUGAACAAGAAGAUGAAAGAACAUUCCGGAGUAGAUACCUCCAUGUGGGACAGUUGGCUAAACAUUUUUGGGGCCUACAAAGGCCUCAUUUCUUCAGUGCUUAUUUCUCUUGUUGUUUUACUGUGAUUCUAACCACCUGCGAGUGCUGUCUCAUUCCUUGUCUUCGCGCACUUAUCCAACGCCUUAUUACCAAUGCCAUCAAAAGUCAGUCUGACCCUGCCAGUCUCCACCUUCUGGCAGAGCAGAUUGACUCUGAAGAACACGAUGUUGAAGAAGAUGAAUAUAUUGCUUAAAGCCUUGACAAAUGCCAUUUGUGUUGUUUGCAGCCUUAUGUGUGAUCGCACCUUAAUGGUGGGUCGAGGGGGAAUUUCGCCCCCAGGGUUUUUGCCCCCUCUGCAAGUCUGGCAUCUUUUCUUAACUUGGUUAAUGAGAGCCUAUACCUUAACUCAUUUAUGUGAGCGGUACAAUGCUUGAUGUUUUAAGUUUCGUAAUUUAGAUGUUGAACCCAAGUGUGGCCAUCUGUACCCCCAAGAGGAGGGAGUGUUGGAAAGAUUGUUUGGGGGUUCAGUUGGCCUGAGUCUGUUUUCUUCUUUGUUUACUCAGCCCCCUCCACGUGUUGCUCACCUUCCCCCAUAGCCUCCCCCUUUCUUAGAUGCUCUCCCAAAUAUGGUCUUGUUCCUGUCUUUGUUUCUUAAGAUUUGAUCACCUUCCCCCGAGUUUCUCCCCCUUUCUUAUCAUGGAAAACAACUGCUUUUUACAUGCUCUCCCAAAUAUGGUGUUGUUCCUGUCUUUGUGUCUUAACCUAAUAAAGGUCUAAUGCUAAUGAAGAAGGCCAGAGCGGAGGAGGAAGACAUACUGCAAACAUGUGCUGACUCCUCUGUCUCUCCUUUUUGCAGCAAAGAGUGUUUUGAAAUUAA